CCUACGGGAGGCAGCAGUAGGGAAUCUUCCACAAUGGACGCAAGUCUGAUGGAGCAACGCCGCGUGAGUGAAGCAGGGUUUCGGCUCGUAAAGCUCUGUUGGUAGUGAAGAAAGAUAGAGGUAGUAACUGGCCUUUAAUUUACGGUAAUUACUUAGAAAGUCACGGCUCACUACGUGCCAGCAGCCGCGGUAAUACGUAGGUGGCAAGCGUUGUCCGGUUUUGUUGGGCGUAAAGCGAGUGAAGGAGGUUCAAUAAGUCUGAUGUGAAACCCUUCGGCUCAACCGGAGAAUUGCAUCAGACACUGUUGAACUUGAGUGCAGAAGAGGAGAGUGGAACUCCAUGUGUAGCGGUGGAAUGCGUAGAUAUAUGGAAGAACACCAGUGGCGAAGGCGGCUCUCUGGUCUGCAACUGACGCUGAGGCUCGAAAGCAUGGGUAGCGAACAGGAUUAGAUACCCUAGUAGUC
This 465-nucleotide ribosomal RNA is filed under the name uncultured bacterium. RNAcentral describes it as "partial 16S ribosomal RNA". It matches the Rfam family "Bacterial small subunit ribosomal RNA", at positions 338 to 795 of the family's 1533-position model. The record is from RNAcentral.